UACAGAGGGUGCAAGCGUUAAUCGGAAUUACUGGGCGUAAAGCGUGCGUAGUCGGUUAUCUAAGUCGGAUGUGAAAUCCCCGGGCUCAACCUGGGAAUUGCAUUCGAAACUGAAUAGCUAGAGUUCGGCAGAGGGAAGUGGAACUUCCGGUGUAGCGGUGAAAUGCGUAGAUAUCGGAAGGAACAUCAGUGGCGAAAGCGACUUCCUGGACCAGAACUGACGAUCAGGCACGAAAGCGUGGGGAGCAAACAGG
This 253-nucleotide ribosomal RNA is filed under the name uncultured bacterium. RNAcentral describes it as "partial 16S ribosomal RNA". It matches the Rfam family "Bacterial small subunit ribosomal RNA", at positions 524 to 776 of the family's 1533-position model. The record is from RNAcentral.